RNAcentral lists this ribosomal RNA (500 nucleotides) under uncultured bacterium. RNAcentral describes it as "partial 16S ribosomal RNA". It matches the Rfam family "Bacterial small subunit ribosomal RNA", at positions 30 to 523 of the family's 1533-position model. The record is from RNAcentral.
AUUGAACGCUAGCGGCAUGCCUUACACAUGCAAGUCGAACGGCAGCACGAACUUCGGUUUGGUGGCGAGUGGCGAACGGGUGAGUAAAGCAUCGGAACGUGCCUAGUAGUGGGGGAUAACUAUUCGAAAGAGUGGCUAAUACCGCAUACGAUCUAAGGAUGAAAGUGGGGGAUCUUCGGACCUCAUGCUAUUAGAGCGGCCGAUGUCAGAUUAGCUAGUUGGUGAGGUAAAAGCUCACCAAGGCGACGAUCUGUAGCUGGUCUGAGAGGACGACCAGCCACACUGGGACUGAGACACGGCCCAGACUCCUACGGGAGGCAGCAGUGGGGAAUUUUGGACAAUGGGCGAAAGCCUGAUCCAGCAAUGCCGCGUGUGUGAAGAAGGCCUUCGGGUUGUAAAGCACUUUUGUUCGGGAAGAAAAGGUUUGUGUUAAUACCAUAAGCUGAUGACGGUACCGAAAGAAUAAGCACCGGCUAACUACGUGCCAGCAGCCGCAGUAA